RNAcentral lists this long non-coding RNA (289 nucleotides) under Brassica napus (rape). RNAcentral's name for it is "long non-coding RNA (BNAP_LNC010372)". Lineage: Eukaryota; Viridiplantae; Streptophyta; Magnoliopsida; Brassicales; Brassicaceae. The record is from RNAcentral.
AAAUAUCCAAAAUUUUAUUUGAAUACCCGAAAUAUAAUUUUGAAUUUUACUGAAACCCGAAACUAUAACCAAAUAUCCAAAUCAAAAUUUUCAAAAAUUCUAUAAUAUUGAAAACAUAUCUGAAAUAACAAAAUAUACAUAAUAUACACAAAAUAUUUCCGGUACUUUGGGUACCUGGACUCAAAUAGAGACAUGCGGGUCCAAAAACAAAACCCAAAGUUUGCUUGAUCCCGGAUCCGAACAUGUAUUUCGUGUUAGUUUCGGUUCAGUUUUUUGGAUCCUGGUCAAA